Long non-coding RNA from Phyllostomus discolor (pale spear-nosed bat), 97 nucleotides. RefSeq lists it as uncharacterized. The record is from RefSeq and is a predicted model, not a curated record. NCBI's taxonomy places the organism in Eukaryota, Metazoa, Chordata, Mammalia, Chiroptera, Phyllostomidae. The transcript has 3 exons.
CAAUAUCUAAGGUUCCCUUAUCAGGAAAAGCAGGGUAAUAUUCUUUUAUAGUUUGUAAAAGCUGAAUGAGAUGCUGUUUCUUCACUGUUCAUCCUGU